This 74-nucleotide transfer RNA is filed under the name Candidatus Zambryskibacteria bacterium RIFCSPHIGHO2_01_FULL_46_30. Its description in RNAcentral is "tRNA-Gly". It matches the Rfam family "tRNA". Rfam says of the family: Transfer RNA (tRNA) molecules are approximately 80 nucleotides in length. Their secondary structure includes four short double-helical elements and three loops (D, anti-codon, and T loops). Further hydrogen bonds mediate the characteristic L-shaped molecular structure. tRNAs have two regions of fundamental functional importance: the anti-codon, which is responsible for specific mRNA codon recognition, and the 3' end, to which the tRNAs corresponding amino acid is attached (by aminoacyl-tRNA synthetases). tRNAs cope with the degeneracy of the genetic code in two manners: having more than one tRNA (with a specific anti-codon) for a particular amino acid; and 'wobble' base-pairing, i.e. permitting non-standard base-pairing at the 3rd anti-codon position. The record is from RNAcentral. Lineage: Bacteria; Candidatus Zambryskiibacteriota.
GCGGGAUUAGUUUAGUGGCAAAACGACAGUUUUCCAAACUGUAGUCACCGUUUCGAUUACGGUAUCCCGCACUA